Molecule: ribosomal RNA, 497 nt
Filed under: uncultured bacterium
Lineage: Bacteria
Description: partial 16S ribosomal RNA
Rfam family: Bacterial small subunit ribosomal RNA
Source: RNAcentral
GAUGAACGCUGGCGGCGUGCCUAAUACAUGCAAGUCGAGCGAACGGACGAGAAGCUUGCUUCUCGGAUGUUAGCGGCGGACGGGUGAGUAACACGUGGAUAACCUACCUAUAAGACUGGGAUAACUUCGGGAAACCGGAGCUAAUACCGGAUAAUCUUUUGAACCGCAUGGUUCAAAAGUGAAAGACGGUCUUGCUGGCACGUAUAGAUGGAUCCGCGCUGCAUUAGCUAGUUGGUAAGGUAACGGCUUACCAAGGCAACGAUGCAUAGCCGACCUGAGAGGGUGAUCGGCCACCCUGGAACUGAGACACGGUCCAGACUCCUACGGGAGGCAGCAGUAGGGAAUCUUCCGCAGUGGUCGAAAGCCUUACGGAGCGACGCCGCGUGAGUGAUGGAGGUCUUCGGAUCGUAAAACUCUGUUAUUAGGGAAGAACAUAUGUGUAAGUAACUGAGCACAUCUUGACGGUACCUACUCAGAAAGCCCCGGCUAACUACGUG